RNAcentral lists this ribosomal RNA (307 nucleotides) under Klebsiella pneumoniae. RNAcentral's name for it is "bacterial SSU rRNA". It matches the Rfam family "Bacterial small subunit ribosomal RNA", at positions 1157 to 1463 of the family's 1533-position model. The record is from RNAcentral. Lineage: Bacteria; Pseudomonadati; Pseudomonadota; Gammaproteobacteria; Enterobacterales; Enterobacteriaceae.
GAUAAACUGGAGGAAGGUGGGGAWGACGUCAAGUCAUCAUGGCCCUUACGACCAGGGCUACACACGUGCUACAAUGGCAUAUACAAAGAGAAGCGACCUCGCGAGAGCAAGCGGACCUCAUAAAGUAUGUCGUAGUCCGGAUUGGAGUCUGCAACUCGACUCCAUGAAGUCGGAAUCGCUAGUAAUCGUAGAUCAGAAUGCUACGGUGAAUACGUUCCCGGGCCUURWACACACCGCCCGUCACACCAUGGGAGUGGGUUGCAAAAGUCGUAGGUAGCUUAACCUUCGGGAGGGCGCUUACCACUUU